This 308-nucleotide ribosomal RNA is filed under the name uncultured bacterium. Its description in RNAcentral is "partial 16S ribosomal RNA". It matches the Rfam family "Bacterial small subunit ribosomal RNA", at positions 505 to 807 of the family's 1533-position model. The record is from RNAcentral.
GAGACAGCAGUCGCCGCGGUAAUACGUAGGGUGCAAGCGUUAAUCGGAAUUACUGGGCGUAAAGCGUGCGCAGGCGGUUAUAUAAGUCAGAUGUGAAAUCCCCGGGCUCAACCUGGGAACUGCAUUUGAGACUGUAUGGCUAGAGUGUGUCAGAGGGGGGUAGAAUUCCACGUGUAGCAGUGAAAUGCGUAGAUAUGUGGAGGAAUACCGAUGGCGAAGGCAGCCCCCUGGGAUAACACUGACGCUCAUGCACGAAAGCGUGGGGAGCAAACAGGAUUAGAUACCCCCGUAGUCCCUGUCUCUUAUAC